GAUCAUUACUGAUUUGCUUAAUUGCACCACAUGUGUUUUCUAUUAUUAUGAAACUUUCUUUGGCGGUGAGACGUAAAACUCACGCCGCCAGAGGUUUACUAAAACUAAAUUUAAAUAUUGUCAUUUUUUGUUAUUAUUUAUUUAAUAGUCAAAACUUUCAACAACGGAUCUCUUGKUUCUCGCAUCGAUGAAGAACGCAGCGAAAUGCGAUACGUAAUAUGAAUUGCAGAUAUUCGUGAAUCAUCGAAUCUUUGAACGCACAUUGCGCCCUCUGGUAUUCCAGAGGGCAUGCCUGUUUGAGCGUCAUUUCUCCCUCAAACCUUUGGGUUUGGUGUUGAGCAAUACGCGAUACGGUUUGUUUGAAAUAUAGUAAUGUACCGACGUAAACGACUUA
RNAcentral lists this unclassified non-coding RNA (394 nucleotides) under Candida maltosa. Its description in RNAcentral is "sequence contains 18S rRNA gene, ITS1, 5.8S rRNA gene, ITS2, 28S rRNA gene". The record is from RNAcentral. Lineage: Eukaryota; Fungi; Ascomycota; Pichiomycetes; Serinales; Debaryomycetaceae.